UCGGAUCAAGGGUGUCGAGAGGGUCCUGGGUCCUGUUCCUUUGCCUUUCAAAAAGACUUUUUACGGAUUGAGAAUUUUUAAAUACCACUAGGGGAAAGGUGAAGGUUCUUUGCAGCCUUCAGUGUUGAAAUGGACGAAGGUAAGGAAGGCAAAUCAUUUUAAGACGAAAUCUCCGAUUUUUUAAAAAAGGAGGAAAAAAGCAGGGUGGCUAAGGAUAAAGAAAGAGGACUUGAGAAAAUGUGGAGAAUGAAAAACAGGAGAGCAGCGAGCAAAAGCAAAGAUCCAGAGUUCAAAGAGACUGGCAGAAGGAAAUAGCUGCGGGCUGAGUGCUGAAGAGGGGAGGGACUGACGGCUGCCGGCCGGUAGGAGCGCGGAGCUGCGCUGCGGCGGCCCAGGAGCUGCUGCGGUUCCCGCUGCUCGGGGAGCAGGCGGUGUGUGCGCGGCUGCGAAGUCGAGGUUGAAACUGCACCGCCAAGGCGCGCUCCUGCUGUGUCUGGAGCUCCGGCGUCUCCUCUGCCUCCCAGCUCAGCGCCUCCCACCCUCCUUCCCUCCUCCUCUUCCCAGCUCCCCCGCCCUCUGCUGCUCGCAGCCUCGCCAGUGAGAAUCUACUGUAAGUGUGAGUUGCUUCGACGAAGUCACACACCCACGGAGGGAAGUAAUCUGGAGGCUGCCUUGGCAUGUACAGGAAGCCUUCCUGCAGACAUCCACAGUGAACAAGUCUAAGGACAAUAGCUUUCGUUGGCCCCCAAUAGAAGGCAUUUUUAGUGAUGUGUGGCCUCACCACUUAAAUCCAGUUUAUUGAAUCUGAAGUGAUUUGCUCCUCUUUCUGGACUACACAAUAAACACCCUCCAACGUCCCCAGCCAUGCUCUUCCCAUCAUUUGGCUGAAAGGGGAGGAAUUCAAGGCCUUAGAGUGGGGAAGCUACAAUUUGGAAGAAUCCUGGAAGCACAGAUUACCCUGUGAAGCAGCAUCCCCAUGAGGGUCUCUUUCUUCUGUGAUAUAAGCAAGAAAUAAAUGAAUUGUGCAAAUCC
Molecule: long non-coding RNA, 1032 nt
Filed under: Homo sapiens (human)
Lineage: Eukaryota; Metazoa; Chordata; Mammalia; Primates; Hominidae
Description: HSALNT0319969
Source: RNAcentral